AGCAGUGUGGCUCAGUGGAAAGAGCCUGGACUUGGGAGUCGGAGAUCAUGGGUUUGAAUCCCCACUCUGCCA
Ornithorhynchus anatinus (platypus) is the source of this 72-nucleotide non-coding RNA. NCBI's taxonomy places the organism in Eukaryota, Metazoa, Chordata, Mammalia, Monotremata, Ornithorhynchidae. The record is from Rfam.